UUUAUACUUGUAAAAUAAAAUUAAAUUAUUAUUAUUAUUAUUUUAAAAAGGACCAAGCUGUUUGCUUUAUUUCAAUAACGAGUUGAUUUCACCGACAUCAAGCACUUUUUAAUUUUAUUGCUGACCUAUGCCUGACCCCCAGCUCCUCUGACAGUAUCAAAUUUCCUUAUAUCAAAUUUCCCUUUCUGCGUAUAAUGUAAUGUUUUAUUGUUGCUAUGGCCAUUGGCUAAUUCGAAUAAAGUUUUAUCUAUCUCUCCUCUGACAGUAGGGGAUGCAAGUUACUAUUCUCAGGCAAGACCUUACACCUGGGUGUGGCUUGAGCCUCAUCAAGUCUGAACCCCUUCAGCUUAAAGGGGCUGUGAGAUUUACUGCGGAACAGGCACUGCAUGUCAUCUUAGAAUUCAGUACCCCUGAUCAAGAAAAUAAAUUAAAUCCCAGAAUCUUUGCACUCGGGGUAGUGAUUCAGCAGGAGAAGGCAUUUAUGUGGCAAAUUGUACAGGCAGCUGCUGGAAACAUAGCUAAACACAAACAUGAAGACGAAAUAAAAU
Podarcis muralis (Common wall lizard) is the source of this 548-nucleotide non-coding RNA. Lineage: Eukaryota; Metazoa; Chordata; Lepidosauria; Squamata; Lacertidae. The record is from RefSeq and is a predicted model, not a curated record.